This 253-nucleotide ribosomal RNA is filed under the name uncultured bacterium. RNAcentral describes it as "partial 16S ribosomal RNA". It matches the Rfam family "Bacterial small subunit ribosomal RNA", at positions 524 to 776 of the family's 1533-position model. The record is from RNAcentral.
GACAUAGGUGGCGAACGUUAUCCGGAAUUAUUGGGCGUAAAGGGCGCGUAGGCGGCUUGGCAAGUGGAUGGUGAAAUCCCUCGGCUUAACCGAGGAACUGCCGUCCAAACUGCUUCGCUUGAGACCGGGAGAGGUGAGUGGAAUUCCCAGUGUAGCGGUGAAAUGCGCAGAUAUCAGGAAGAACACCCGUGGCGAAGGCGGCUCUCUGGGACGGUACUGACGCUGAGACGCGAAAGCGUGGGGAGCGAACAGG